Molecule: ribosomal RNA, 460 nt
Filed under: uncultured bacterium
Lineage: Bacteria
Description: bacterial SSU rRNA
Rfam family: Bacterial small subunit ribosomal RNA
Source: RNAcentral
GCAAGGUUGAAACUCAAAGGAAUUGACGGGGGCCCGCACAAGCGGAGGAACAUGUGGUUUAAUUCGAUGAUACGCGAGGAACCUUACCCGGGUUUGAACGUAGGGAGACAGGAGUGGAAACAUUCUUUUCAGCAAUGACUGCCUACGAGGUGCUGCAUGGUUGUCGUCAGCUCGUGCCGUGAGGUGUCGGCUUAAGUGCCAUAACGAGCGCAACCCUUAUUUCCAGUUACUAACAGGUCAAGCUGAGGACUCUGGAGAGACUGCCAGCGUAAGCUGUGAGGAAGGUGGGGAUGACGUCAAAUCAGCACGGCCCUUACAUCCGGGGCGACACACGUGUUACAAUGGUAAGGACAAAGGGCAGCUACCGGGCGACCGGAUGCGAAUCUCUAAACCUUAUCUCAGUUCGGAUCGGAGUCUGCAACUCGACUCCGUGAAGCUGGAUUCGCNAUGAUAUCGCGCA